GAUGAACGCUGGCGGCGUGCCUAAUACAUGCAAGUCGAGCGAACGGACGAGAAGCUUGCUUCUCUGAUGUUAGCGGCGGACGGGUGAGUAACACGUGGAUAACCUACCUAUAAGACUGGGAUAACUUCGGGAAACCGUAGCUAAUACCGGAUAAUAUUUUGAACCGCAUGGUUCAAAAGUGAAAGACGGUCUUGCUGUCACUUAUAGAUGGAUCCGCGCUGCAUUAGCUAGUUGGUAAGGUAACGGCUUACCAAGGCAACGAUGCAUAGCCGACCUGAGAGGGUGAUCGGCCACACUGGAACUGAGACACGGUCCAGAGUCCUACGGGAGGCAGCAGUAGGGAAGCUUCCGCAAUGGGCGAAAGCCUGACGGAGCAACGCCGCGUGAGUGAUGAAGGUCUUCGGAUCGUAAAACUCUGUUAUUAGCGAAGAACAUAUGUGUAAGUAACUGUGCACAUCUUGACGGUACCUAAUCAGAAAGCCACGGCUAACUACGUG
This 497-nucleotide ribosomal RNA is filed under the name uncultured bacterium. Its description in RNAcentral is "partial 16S ribosomal RNA". It matches the Rfam family "Bacterial small subunit ribosomal RNA", at positions 28 to 507 of the family's 1533-position model. The record is from RNAcentral.